UACGGAGGAUGCAAGCGUUAUCCGGAAUUAUUGGGCGUAAAGCGUCCGCAGGUGGUUGUACAAGUCUGCUGUUAAAGCGUCCAGCUUAACUGGAUACAGGCAGUGGAAACUGUGCGACUAGAGUUUGGUAGGGGUCACGGGAAUUCCCAGUGUAGCGGUGAAAUGCGUAGAUAUUGGGAAGAACACCAGCGGCGAAAGCGCGUGACUGGGCCUGAACUGACACUCAUGGACGAAAGCUAGGGGAGCGAAAGGG
RNAcentral lists this ribosomal RNA (253 nucleotides) under uncultured bacterium. RNAcentral's name for it is "partial 16S ribosomal RNA". It matches the Rfam family "Bacterial small subunit ribosomal RNA", at positions 524 to 776 of the family's 1533-position model. The record is from RNAcentral.